AGAAUAUGCAAUUCAAUUAGAAUUCCAAUUGGCCAUCAGUAUAUGCAACAACUCACCUGUAAAUUGGAUCGACUGCACAUAUCCUAUAAAGGGCAUACAUGCAGUAAACAAAUACUACAGUGCACUGACUAAUAUCAACACAAACGCACUUAACUAAACUAGCGGCACUACUCGAUGUUUGGGACGCGGAGUCUUCUCAGCUACUUCUUCUUGUACCACUGGAUGAUAUACUGCAAAGAAAAACAAAAAAUAUUAAGUAUCAACACUCUUAUUUACAUUUGCAUAAUUAACAUAACCUUGCAGUUAGCUUGCUUUCACACACAUCUCUGCCUUGUAGUGCACAUACUCUCUAGUACUUGGUAGUAAGCUGCUGCAAUUUGUAAAAACAAUGAAUUAAUUAAUAUUCAAUUAUUAAUGCUUUUAUUAGUAUUCUUAUUAGAAACUAUACUUUCCAGUUGCAAUUUUGCAAUUAAUGCACUUCACUUUUCGCACCAUAUGCUUAUACAACAUAUGUUUUGUCUUUGCAUAUCGAUAGACAUAUAAACGCAGUGAUGCACUAUCACUUUCACGAUCGCACUUGCGAUGUAUCUAAUAAAUUUUAACUAAAUUAAAUAUGCUAAAAUGAAAAGAAAAACCCAUUGAAAAUCAAAUAUUGAAAGGAAAACAACUAUUACUAUUAAUUAUAUUACUCUUAUACUACUAAUACUAUAUUUAGCUUAAACAACCUAUGGGGAAAAUGACUAGACUUUGUCUUGAAUUUUCUCUUUGAAUUGAAUGGCGGCAUUAUGGCAGCUAAUUGAUCUGCGCAUCUCAUAGAUGCAGCUGAAAAUGAAUUUAAUUAUAUUAACUCAUUAGUUUACAACUAGCAAUUUAAGCAUAUCAAUGUCAUCUACUUCUGAUCUGCUCUUUUAUACGUACACAUAUAUCACAAUGGUGCACUGCUAUCUUUUGUUGCGCUUGUGGCCAUUUAAACUAAUCAUAGUUUCGCAAAAUAUCGACCGAAUGUAUAUUCUUUAAAGAUAUCUUUUAGGCGCAAUUUUAAUUCUAAGAAAAUACUAUUGUCAAAGUAUUGUAUGAAUAAAGAGCAUCUCUAUUUUCUCUCUUCCUCUUCAUCUAGCUGAUUGACAGCUAAUAUGAAUGAGACUAAAGGGAAUAUGAGAUCAUUAAUGUGUGUUCUGUCAAGGCAUACAAACAGAAAAA
Drosophila mojavensis is the source of this 1200-nucleotide long non-coding RNA. RefSeq lists it as uncharacterized. The record is from RefSeq and is a predicted model, not a curated record. Lineage: Eukaryota; Metazoa; Arthropoda; Insecta; Diptera; Drosophilidae. The transcript is spliced from 2 exons.